AAUCCAUGUUGAGAGCAGUGUUGAAUCACAUCUUUAUGCCUUUCACACGCUUCAUAGAGUGACUCAAAAUCAUUUUGCUUGAAUUGACCAAUCUCAUUCUUGAGUUG
This is a small nucleolar RNA of Carya illinoinensis, 107 nucleotides long. The record is from RefSeq and is a predicted model, not a curated record. Lineage: Eukaryota; Viridiplantae; Streptophyta; Magnoliopsida; Fagales; Juglandaceae.